RNAcentral lists this ribosomal RNA (467 nucleotides) under uncultured bacterium. Its description in RNAcentral is "partial 16S ribosomal RNA". It matches the Rfam family "Bacterial small subunit ribosomal RNA", at positions 28 to 507 of the family's 1533-position model. The record is from RNAcentral.
GACGAACGCUGGCGGCGUGCUUAACACAUGCAAGUCGAACGGAAAGGCCUCUUUCGGGGGGUACUCGAGUGGCGAACGGGUGAGUAACACGUGAGUAACCUGCCCUUGACUUUGGGAUAACUUCAGGAAACUGGGGCUAAUACCGGAUAGGAGCUCCUGCUGCAUGGGGGGGGUUGGAAAGUUUCGGCGGUUGGGGAUGGACUCGCGGCUUAUCAGCUUGUUGGUGGGGUAGUGGCUUACCAAGGCUUUGCCGGGUAGCCGGCCUGAGAGGGUGACCGGCCACAUUGGGACUGAGAUACGGCCCAGACUCCUACGGGAGGCAGCAGUGGGGAAUAUUGCACAAUGGGUGGAAGCCUGAUGCAGCAACGCCGUGUGCGGGAUGACGGCCUUCGGGUUGUAAACCGCUUUCGCUCAUGACGAAGCUUUGUGUGACGGUAGUGGGUAAAGAAGCACCGGCUAACUACGUG